GCCCCUGCGGUGGAGCAUGUGGUUUAUUCGAUGCAACGCGAAGAACCUUACCUGGUCUUGACAUCCACAGAACUUAGCAGAGAUGCUUUGGUGCCUUCGGGAACUGUGAGACAGGUGCUGCAUGGCUGUCGUCAGCUCGUGUUGUGAAAUGUUGGGUUAAGUCCCGCAACGAGCGCAACCCUUAUCCUUUGUUGCCAGCGAUUAGGCCGGGAACUCAAAGGAGACUGCCAGUGAUAAACUGGAGGAAGGUGGGGAUGACGUCAAGUCAUCAUGGCCCUUACGACUAGGGCUACACACGUGCUACAAUGGCAUAUACAAAGAGAAGCGACCUCGCGAGAGCAAGCGGACCUCAUAAAGUAUGUCGUAGUCCGGAUUGGAGUCUGCAACUCGACUCCAUGAAGUCGGAAUCGCUAGUAAUCGUAGAUCAGAAUGCCACGGUGAAUACGUUCCCGGGCCUUGUACACACCGCCCGUCACACCAUGA
This 483-nucleotide ribosomal RNA is filed under the name Enterobacteriaceae bacterium. Its description in RNAcentral is "bacterial SSU rRNA". It matches the Rfam family "Bacterial small subunit ribosomal RNA", at positions 923 to 1407 of the family's 1533-position model. Lineage: Bacteria; Pseudomonadati; Pseudomonadota; Gammaproteobacteria; Enterobacterales; Enterobacteriaceae. The record is from RNAcentral.